This is a long non-coding RNA of Rosa rugosa (rugosa rose), 2443 nucleotides long. RefSeq lists it as uncharacterized. The record is from RefSeq and is a predicted model, not a curated record. The transcript is spliced from 7 exons. NCBI's taxonomy places the organism in Eukaryota, Viridiplantae, Streptophyta, Magnoliopsida, Rosales, Rosaceae.
CACUCGGUUAAAAAAACAGAAGCCUUCUUUCCUUCUCCGCGAGCUAGACCCCAAUUAAGCAAUUGCAGCUCCCAUUCUGGUUCUUCUCCCCCCGAUCAGCAACAUCCUUUCCCUUUCCCAAUUAUGGUUCUUCUCUCCCCGAUCUAGGUUUUUUACACAGAAGAGUCUCAUCGAUCAACCUCUCCCCGAUCUAGGUCAAGAAGACACUGUUGGUGGAGUUCUUCGAUCCGAUUUUACAAAGUAUACUGUUGUUGCACGGAUUUCUGGUCAAGGAGAGGAGUCGUUACAGAUAAAAAAAAAACCAACCAAAAAGCUUCAAACUUUACCUCAUUUCAUCUUCGUUUUCGGAUUCUGUUGAAUACCCAGUUCGUUUUUGAUCGCCAAGAUCGUGUAUUUUGGUAUUGGCUGUGUGAUUGAAGUGAAUUUUGAUAUUGGUUUAAUGUAAAAAUUGGGGCUUUUGAUGAAUAGAGUGGUGAAAUUGAUCUGGGAUUUGAUCAAUUGGGAAUGGAGAAUAGUGGAGAAGCUCUAGAUGAUGAUGGCGCUGGAUGGUUCGAAGUGAAAAAGGUUUUAUGAUAUUGAUGUACAACUUUGAAACUUACUUGGAUUUCCGCCAACAUGCUGCUCUCAAACUUCCAACACUUCCUAAAACUUUGGAAGGAGUAAUCAGCCCAGAAAAGUUUGAGAAGUCGAGAGCCUACUGUCUUGAAUGAAGGUAUAUGUGAUUCUUAUUGACCAACAAUUCUCCCUAUUCUAAUAGCCCCACUCUUUAAAAAGCUCACCCCUGUAAGUGUUCCAAAUAUAUAUUGAUCACUAACUGAAAUCGAUUCAUUCACCAUUAAUUCAUUAAUUAAGUUUGGUUUUGUUGUCUUAUUUUCGUACUUAAUUAUUUGAGACUAUAGCUUCCGGAGGGUCCGCUUAGGGAGAAAAGUGAGAAGCUCGCUUCUUCCCUCAUGUUUCCAUUAAAUUAAAGAAGUUGUUUGUCGUUGAUGGAUCUAUAAGGUCAAGUCACAGCAAUGUGAGGACUUUCACAAUGUUUACGUUGUUCUGAAUUUUUGUGGACUUUCUCGAUCAUCUUACCUAUAUAUCAUGGUACAGGCCUAUAUGUAUGGAUUUUUUAAGAACAAGAGGAUUGUCCUUUAUGAUACACUGAUCCAGCAUGUAUUAAUUUCAUACCAAAAAAUUAUCAAAACUUGUAUUGUCUCGGUUAGUUUGUUGUUGUAUAUAUCAUUGUGGAAAAAAGGUAUUUAUGUGUGUAAAUGAGUGCUUGCAGUGCAAAAAUGAUGAGGAAAUUGUAGCUGUUCUAGCUCAUGAGCUAGGCCAUUGGAAGCUUAAUCACAGUGUAUACUUAUUCAUUUCUAUGCAGUUUCCACCGCCAAGCCUUUUAAUAGAAGGCAUGAUCAUGGACUUUGCUUGGUCUUCAUUGUUCCACCGCUUUAUGAUCAAAGUGAAAGAGAGGGAAGAGAUAAAGCUUUAAUUAUACUUUGUUGUCUGACACAUGUUCAAGGAAAUUUAUAGCAAACUUUGACAAUGAUUAACUUGAAUAUAUAUAUAUAUAUAUAUAUAUAUAUAUAUAUAUAUAUAUAUAUAUAUAUAUAUAUAUCCUGAAAUCUCUUCCCCUUUAGUUCUCGGACAAAAGUUACAGCAGCACCACACUUUUAGUUGCAUAUGGGAUUUAUGUGUUUUGAUUAGUUCUCAUCAAAACUGUUGCAGGUACCAUAUCUUUUGAAGAAAACAUGACCACCCCAAUAUUUCGGUGCUUGUGACUCUCAAGGUACCAUAUCUUUUGAAGAAAACAUGACCACCCCAAUAUUUCGGUGCUUGUGACUCUCAAGGAAAUAGCCGAGCUUCAUUCUGGUCCAUCACGUGGCUUUCAGGCGGUCUUAGGAUUGAUUGUACAAGUUCAAUCCUCGAUACAUACUGGGGAAGCCUCCAAGAAGUUUUGUGAUCGCAGGUGAGCCAAGUAAAACAUGCUGCUGAUUUGUGAUUGAAGAUGAGCUAAACCGAGCGCUUUGCAGACUUGUGGCUGGAGGUAGGCACCCUUUUGUAAAGAGAUGGUUACUUUACUUUCAGGGGCAUGAUGACUUUGAUGCAGGUGGAGACAUAGCUUGGCAUUGAAACUCUGCACGGGGAUCAUCUUGGAGCAGCUUCCCUACUUUUUUGUGAACCCAAGAACCUCGCAGAUUUGUCUUUGGCGUGAACCAACAGAUUUGACUUGGUGCAAUAUUAGGUAAAUGAUCGAGAUAAGAUGGUUUUUUGGUUCUCUCGAUCAUUAUAUAACUGUUGGCUAGGUUUAGAGUUGGAACUAUGGAUUGUAUUUUGGAUGAUGUUGAUGCAAUGAAACGUAGGCAUCAUUGUGAAUACUGAUUUUAGUCCAAUUUUAUGGUUUUGAUGAUUGUAAAUGAAUGAUGUUGAAAUGGUUGAAAGGCAACAGAUAUAUGCAGAU